Molecule: ribosomal RNA, 305 nt
Filed under: uncultured bacterium
Lineage: Bacteria
Description: bacterial SSU rRNA
Rfam family: Bacterial small subunit ribosomal RNA
Source: RNAcentral
GUAGCCCUACGGGAGGCAGCAGUGAGGAAUAUUGGUCAAUGGGCGGAAGCCUGAACCAGCCAAGUCGCGUGAGGGAAUAAGGCCCUACGGGUCGUAACCCUCUUUCGCCGGGGAGCAAGGGCCGGGACGCGUCCCGGCCCGGAGAGUACCCGGAGAAAAAGCAUCGGCUAACUCCGUGCCAGCAGCCGCGGUAAUACGGAGGAUGCGAGCGUUAUCCGGAUUUAUUGGGUUUAAAGGGUGCGCAGGCGGGCUUUUAAGUCAGCGGUAAAAAUUCGGGGCUCAACCCCGUCCGGCCGUUUGAACUG